Long non-coding RNA from Leptinotarsa decemlineata (Colorado potato beetle), 436 nucleotides. Lineage: Eukaryota; Metazoa; Arthropoda; Insecta; Coleoptera; Chrysomelidae. The record is from RefSeq and is a predicted model, not a curated record.
UUUCAUUUACAAAAGGCAUAUGAAUCAUGAAAAUGAUUUUCAAAAUCUGCAACGAAAGUACGAAAAUUGUAGAAUUUACUGAGCUCGUUGAAUAAAGAACUUUUUGAUUAAUUUCAACGUCGUUCUGCUGCUGUAUGGAAGACCAUUCACGGCUCAGCAUCAUCAGGAAUUAAAACAUCUUUGAAAGAAACGAAAGCUUUGCUUUAAUUUUGGAAAAGGAACGUAUCCAGGUCAACAAAACUACGAAAAGUGGAAAAAAAGAAAUUGUCUUGAUUCUGUAAAUAUGAGCAAAUUGAAUUUGGCAUAUACCAACCUUCCAACCGAGUUUCUUGAAGAAUUGCAAGAAUUAUGGUAUAGUUAUAGAAAAAAUCCAAAUGAAAAAAAUGUGUAUUGUUAUUCCUUGUAAUGUUCACAAUAAAUUAGUUCUCAGUUACUA